This is a long non-coding RNA of Balaenoptera musculus (blue whale), 901 nucleotides long. RefSeq lists it as uncharacterized. The record is from RefSeq and is a predicted model, not a curated record. The transcript has 4 exons. Lineage: Eukaryota; Metazoa; Chordata; Mammalia; Artiodactyla; Balaenopteridae.
AUGGGUCUUCAGAUUGUUCCAUCCUCCAUUACAUUGAUAAAAAAUCUCCUGGCCACAUGUCCAAAGUCAUGGAGGGCAGAGUUAGGGUUGAGGCUCUGAUGUUGCUGAUUCCCACAUGGGGAGGAACCAAGGUGACUGAAGAUUUACCUGAUUGAUUUUCGGAUUGCCCCUGCAUAAGGAAGCAGAGGAGGACAGGUGGUGGCAGAGUUCCUGAUAAUGAAACAACAGGUCCUCCCUUGGGCUCAGUGUCCUCCUUCAUCAUGUUACUGGCUGCAGUGGACUUAGGAAUGCUGUGAACACAGGGGAUAGAGAAUGACUCAGAACAGAAAUCUCUAAGCCAGUGGGGAGCAGGCGUUUCAUCAGCGUAUCUGAUUGAUUGAAGAUGAUGAAGGAGGGUUUUGGGAUGCAGAAUUUUCUAACUCCACCUGGAAGUCCGGGAACCUCUCCCUCCAGCCACAAGGCCCUGCCCCACAUCCUGCAGCAACCAAUCUGGAAAACCAGAUUCCAACCUCUGCAACAAUAGGCCCCAAGGGUCAGGAUUUGGUCAGUGACUCACAGCUUCGUCAUUUUCAGUCUUUUCCAUGUAGAACCAAAUGCAGGGAAAGCCAAAUAUGUUCCCCUAAGUAAUCACUUAGGGCGCCCCUCUUCCUAACAGCUUGUUUCCAGCCUCCCACAUCACAAGCUCUGAGCAGGACAUGCUUUCCUUUUUUUGCCACCAGAAAGUGUCCCCACUCUUAUGUGUGCCCUAAGUCUCAGCCUGAUGUCAGUGGUGGUGGCUGACUCCCGUGCUCUAUAGAUAAGUUGUGAGUAAAUAGUGUCUGUUCUCAUUUGCGGGGGUGUCGUUUUUCAUAUCUACAGAGCUUAGUAUGGCAGGAAGCAAAUAAAACUCAUGAUAAUGUUU